Molecule: ribosomal RNA, 317 nt
Filed under: uncultured soil bacterium
Lineage: Bacteria
Description: bacterial SSU rRNA
Rfam family: Bacterial small subunit ribosomal RNA
Source: RNAcentral
AGGAUGAACGCUGGCGGCGUGCUUAACACAUGCAAGUCGAACGAUGAAGGCUGGAGCUUGCUCUGGCUGGAUUAGUGGCGAACGGGUGAGUAACACGUGAGUAACCUGCCCCAGACUCUGGGAUAAGCGCUGGAAACGGCGUCUAAUACCGGAUACGAGCUUCCACCGCAUGGUGAGGAGCUGGAAAGAAUUUCGGUCUGGGAUGGACUCGCGGCCUAUCAGCUUGUUGGUGGGGUAAUGGCUCACCAAGGCGACGACGGGUAGCCGGCCUGAGAGGGUGACCGGCCACGACUGGGACUGAGACACGGCCCAGACCU